RNAcentral lists this ribosomal RNA (468 nucleotides) under uncultured bacterium. RNAcentral's name for it is "partial 16S ribosomal RNA". It matches the Rfam family "Bacterial small subunit ribosomal RNA", at positions 28 to 507 of the family's 1533-position model. The record is from RNAcentral.
GACGAACGCUGGCGGCGUGCUUAACACAUGCAAGUCGAACGGAAAGGCCCUGCUUUUGUGGGGUGCUCGAGUGGCGAACGGGUGAGUAACACGUGAGUAACCUGCCCUUGACUUUGGGAUAACUUCAGGAAACUGGGGCUAAUACCGGAUAGGAGCUCCUGCUGCAUGGUGGGGGUUGGAAAGUUUCGGCGGUUGGGGAUGGACUCGCGGCUUAUCAGCUUGUUGGUGUGGUAGUGGCUUACCAAGGCUUUGACGGGUAGCCGGCCUGAGAGGGUGACCGGCCACAUUGGGACUGAGAUACGGCCCAGACUCCUACGGGAGGCAGCAGUGGGGAAUAUUGCACAAUGGGCGGAAGCCUGAUGCAGCAACGCCGCGUGCGGGAUGACGGCCUUCGGGUUGUAAACCGCUUUCGCCUGUGACGAGGCGUGAGUGACGGUAAUGGGUAAAGAAGCACCGGCUAACUACGUG